RNAcentral lists this ribosomal RNA (1562 nucleotides) under Campylobacter jejuni. RNAcentral describes it as "partial 23S ribosomal RNA". It matches the Rfam family "Bacterial large subunit ribosomal RNA", at positions 1 to 1599 of the family's 2925-position model. Lineage: Bacteria; Pseudomonadati; Campylobacterota; Epsilonproteobacteria; Campylobacterales; Campylobacteraceae. The record is from RNAcentral.
AGGUAAGCUACUAAGAGCGAAUGGUGGAUGCCUUGACUGGUAAAGGCGAUGAAGGACGUACUAGACUGCGAUAAGCUACGGGGAGCUGUCAAGAAGCUUUGAUCCGUAGAUUUCCGAAUGGGGCAACCCAAUGUAUAGAGAUAUACAUUACCUAUAUAGGAGCGAACGAGGGGAAUUGAAACAUCUUAGUACCCUCAGGAAAAGAAAUCAAUAGAGAUUGCGUCAGUAGCGGCGAGCGAAAGCGCAAGAGGGCAAACCCAGUGCUUGCACUGGGGGUUGUAGGACUGCAAUGUGCAAGAGGUAAGUUUAGCAGAACAUUCUGGAAAGUAUAACCAUAGAGGGUGAUAGUCCCGUAUGCGAAAAACAAACCUUAGCUAGCAGUAUCCUGAGUAGGGCGGGACACGAGGAAUCCUGUCUGAAUCCGGGUCGACCACGAUCCAACCCUAAAUACUAAUACCAGAUCGAUAGUGCACAAGUACCGUGAGGGAAAGGUGAAAAGAACUGAGGUGAUCAGAGUGAAAUAGAACCUGAAACCAUUUGCUUACAAUCAUUCAGAGCCCUAUGUAGCAAUACAGGGUGAUGGACUGCCUUUUGCAUAAUGAGCCUGCGAGUUGUGGUGUCUGGCAAGGUUAAGCAAACGCGAAGCCGUAGCGAAAGCGAGUCUGAAUAGGGCGCUUAGUCAGAUGCUGCAGACCCGAAACGAAGUGAUCUAUCCAUGAGCAAGUUGAAGCUAGUGUAAGAACUAGUGGAGGACUGAACCCAUAGGCGUUGAAAAGCCCCGGGAUGACUUGUGGAUAGGGGUGAAAGGCCAAUCAAACUUCGUGAUAGCUGGUUCUCUCCGAAAUAUAUUUAGGUAUAGCGUUGUGUCGUAAUAUAAGGGGGUAGAGCACUGAAUGGGCUAGGGCAUACACCAAUGUACCAAACCCUAUCAAACUCCGAAUACCUUAUAUGUAAUCACAGCAGUCAGGCGGCGAGUGAUAAAAUCCGUCGUCAAGAGGGAAACAACCCAGACUACCAGCUAAGGUCCCUAAAUCUUACUUAAGUGGAAAACGAUGUGAAGUUACUUAAACAACCAGGAGGUUGGCUUAGAAGCAGCCAUCCUUUAAAGAAAGCGUAAUAGCUCACUGGUCUAGUGAUUUUGCGCGGAAAAUAUAACGGGGCUAAAGUAAGUACCGAAGCUGUAGACUUAGUUUACUAAGUGGUAGGAGAGCGUUCUAUUUGCGUCGAAGGUAUACCGGUAAGGAGUGCUGGAGCGAAUAGAAGUGAGCAUGCAGGCAUGAGUAGCGAUAAUUAAUGUGAGAAUCAUUAACGCCGUAAACCCAAGGUUUCCUACGCGAUGCUCGUCAUCGUAGGGUUAGUCGGGUCCUAAGUCGAGUCCGAAAGGGGUAGACGAUGGCAAAUUGGUUAAUAUUCCAAUACCAACAUUAGUGUGCGAUGGAAGGACGCUUAGGGCUAAGGGGGCUAGCGGAUGGAAGUGCUAGUCUAAGGUCGUAGGAGGUUAUACAGGCAAAUCCGUAUAACAAUACUCCGAGAACUGAAAGGCUUUUUGAAGUCUUCGGAUG